Molecule: long non-coding RNA, 614 nt
Filed under: Brassica napus (rape)
Lineage: Eukaryota; Viridiplantae; Streptophyta; Magnoliopsida; Brassicales; Brassicaceae
Description: long non-coding RNA (BNAP_LNC020468)
Source: RNAcentral
UGAAUUGUGUGUGAUUUCAGUUUGGAAGGUGCUCAGGAAACGGAAAGAAUUCAAAAGAGGUUAGGAAAGAAACACAAGUGCUGUGGAGACAUGCUCAUAGCGACAUGAUUGGGUCGCUACAAGGAAGAUAGCAUAGCGACAAGCGCAUAGUGACCCACACAUGUCGCUAUAACCCUUUACGGACAACCUUAGCACGUGCGUAGUGACAUCCUCAUGUUACUACGACCAAACGAAGAGAAUGCAAUAUUUGGCUAAGGACCGUAGCGACAUAUCCAUAGUGACAUUCUCAUGUCGCUACAGUCACAAGGUAAGUAUUCUAAUCCGGUUUAAAAUCUCUCCACAUCUCUAGUAAUUUUUAUUUUACUUAUCAUGUAAACCACUCCAAAUUCAAAGUCACACAAGAGACUGUGUGAUUCGAGUGUGGUGGGGGUACUAUAAAAACUGAUCAUUUUGCUUGUUUUUAUUUGGAUGAUUUGCAUUUGACAUAUCUAGCACUUUGCAUUUGUGUGGAUUUUAAUGAUUUGCAUUUUGGAUUUUCUUGUGAUUUCUAAAUAAAAUUUUUUUUUUUUUUAAAAAGAGUUGUGUGUUUUGAAUUAUGCAUAGGGAGCCAUGAU